Long non-coding RNA from Oncorhynchus gorbuscha (pink salmon), 1757 nucleotides. RefSeq lists it as uncharacterized. Lineage: Eukaryota; Metazoa; Chordata; Actinopteri; Salmoniformes; Salmonidae. The record is from RefSeq and is a predicted model, not a curated record. The transcript has 6 exons.
CACUGACUAAACCUACCAAGGUUAGUUACUUUAUGGCUGGUUAGGACACUGACUAAACCUACCAAGGUUAGUUACUUUAUGGCUGGUUAGGACACUGACUAAACCUACCAAGGUUAGUUACUUUAUGGAUGAGGACACUGACUAAACCUACCAAGGUUAGUUACUUUAUGGAUGAGGACACUGACUAAACCUACCAAGGUUAGUUACUUUAUGGAUGAGGACACUGACUAAACCUACCAAGGUUAGUUACUUUAUGGAUGAGGACACUGACUAAACCUACCAAGGUUAGUUACUUUAUGUCUGGUUAGGACACUGACUAAACCUACCAAGGUUAGUUACUUUAUGGAUGAGGACACUGACUAAACCUACCAAGGUUAGUUACUUUAUGGAUGAGGACACUGACUAAACCUACCAAGGUUAGUUACUUUAUGUCUGGUUAGGACACUGACUAAACCUACCAAGGUUAGUUACUUUAUGGCUGGUUAGGACACUGACUAAACCUACCAAGGUUAGUUACUUUAUGGAUGAGGACACUGACUAAACCUACCAAGGUUAGUUACUUUAUGGAUGAGGACACUGACUAAACCUACCAAGGUUAGUUACUUUAUGGAUGAGGACACUGACUAAACCUACCAAGGUUAGUUACUUUAUGACUGGUUAGGACACUGACUAAACCUACCAAGGUUAGUUACUUUAUGACUGGUUAGGACACUGACUAAACCUACCAAGGUUAGUUACUUUAUGGAUGAGGACACUGACUAAACCUACCAAGGUUAGUUACUUUAUGGCUGGUUAGGACACUGACUAAACCUACCAAGGUUAGUUACUUUAUGGAUGAGGACACUGACUAAACCUACCAAGGUUAGUUACUUUAUGGAUGAGGACACUGACUAAACCUACCAAGGUUAGUUACUUUAUGGAUGAGGACACUGACUAAACCUACCAAGGUUAGUUACUUUAUGGAUGAGGACACUGACUAAACCUACCAAGGUUAGUUACUUUAUGGAUGAGGACACUGACUAAACCUACCAAGGUUAGUUACUUUAUGGAUGAGGACACUGACUAAACCUACCAAGGUUAGUUACUUUAUGGAUGAGGACACUGACUAAACCUACCAAGGUUAGUUACUUUAUGGAUGAGGACACUGACUAAACCUACCAAGGUUAGUUACUUUAUGGAUGAGGACACUGACUAAACCUACCAAGGUUAGUUACUUUAUGGAUGAGGACACUGACUAAACCUACCAAGGUUAGUUACUUUAUGACUGGUUAGGACACUGACUAAACCUACCAAGGUUAGUUACUUUAUGUCUGGUUAGGACACUGACUAAACCUACCAAGGUUAGUUACUUUAUGGAUGAGGACACUGACUAAACCUACCAAGGUUAGUUACUUUAUGGAUGAGGACACUGACUAAACCUACCAAGGUUAGUUACUUUAUGGAUGAGGACACUGACUAAACCUACCAAGGUUAGUUACUUUAUGACUGGUUAGGACACUGACUAAACCUACCAAGGUUAGUUACUUUAUGGAUGAGGACACUGACUAAACCUACCAAGGUUAGUUACUUUAUGGAUGAGGACACUGACUAAACCUACCAAGGUUAGUUACUUUAUGGAUGAGGACACUGACUAAACCUACCAAGGUUAGUUACUUUAUGGAUGAGGACACUGACUAAACCUACCAAGGUUAGUUACUUUAUGGAUGAGGACACUGACUAAACCUACCAAGGUUAGUUACUUUAUGGAUGAGGACACU